UGCCUACGGGGGGCAGCAGUGGGGGAUAUUGCACAAUGGGGGGAACCCUGAUGCAGCGACGCCGCGUGAGGGAAGACGGUUUUCGGAUUGUAAACCUCUGUCUUUAGGGACGAAACAAAUGACGGUACCUAAAGAGGAAGCCACGGCUAACUACGUGCCAGCAGCCGCGGUAAUACGUAGGUGGCAAGCGUUGUCCGGAAUUACUGGGUGUAAAGGGAGCGUAGGCGGGAAUGCAAGUUGAAUGUUUAAACUAUGGGCUCAACCCAUAGUCGCGUUCAAAACUGCAUUUCUUGAGUGGAGUAGAG
RNAcentral lists this ribosomal RNA (305 nucleotides) under uncultured bacterium. RNAcentral's name for it is "bacterial SSU rRNA". It matches the Rfam family "Bacterial small subunit ribosomal RNA", at positions 335 to 656 of the family's 1533-position model. The record is from RNAcentral.